UACGAAGGGGGCUAGCGUUGUUCGGAAUUACUGGGCGUAAAGCGCGCGCAGGCGGUCUUCCAAGUCAGUGGUGAAAGCCCGGAGCUCAACUCCGGAACUGCCAUUGAUACUGCUUAGCUUGAAUCAGGUCGAGGUGGAUGGAAUAUUACAUGUAGCGGUGAAAUGCUUAGAUAUGUAAUAGAACACCGAUUGCGAAGGCAGUUCACUAGGCCUGUAUUGACACUGAGGCACGAAAGCGUGGGGAUCAAACAGG
Molecule: ribosomal RNA, 253 nt
Filed under: uncultured bacterium
Lineage: Bacteria
Description: partial 16S ribosomal RNA
Rfam family: Bacterial small subunit ribosomal RNA
Source: RNAcentral